Long non-coding RNA from Oxyura jamaicensis (ruddy duck), 5303 nucleotides. RefSeq lists it as uncharacterized. The record is from RefSeq and is a predicted model, not a curated record. NCBI's taxonomy places the organism in Eukaryota, Metazoa, Chordata, Aves, Anseriformes, Anatidae. The transcript has 2 exons.
GUACUGGAAGACUGCUGCAAGGUCUCCUUGGAACCUUCUCAUGGCUGAACAACCCCAGCUCUCUCAGCCUCUCUUCACAGGCUGCUCCAGCCCCUUGAUCAUCUUUGUGGCCCUCCUCUGGACCCACUCCAACAGGUCCACAUCUUUCUUGUGCUAGGGGCUCCAGGGCUGACUGCAGUGCUCCAGGCCAGGUCUCAUAAGAGCGGAGUAGAGCAGGAGAAUCGUUUCCCUUGACCUGCUGGCCAUACUUCUUUUGAUGCAGCCCAUGAUACAUCUGGAUUUGUGGACUGCAAGCACAGCUCAUGUUCAGUUUUUAAUACUUGAACACCCCCAGGUCCUUCUCUUUUCUCACAUUUCUUUCUUUCAGAUUGAAGGAGAGAAAACAUUUUGAGUGAUAGAGUCCUGUACAUCAUUUUGAGGAAUAAAUAGAAAAAUUCCAGUGCCAAGAAUGGAUCUGUAUCAUUUGAACUACUGAAGAUACAAAAGAACAUUAACUAGGAAGAAGAUGGCUCUGUGCUGAUCUGGAGAAGGCAGGAGCGAUUAGUUGGCAUGCUGUUCAUGGCCAUUGUGGAACUCUUCCAAGGCCCUUUUUUAAAAAUAACUUAGAAUAGAGUUUGGCAUUUUAGCAUGAACACUAAAUUAAAAAAUAUAACUGACUGAGUAGACCUAUUCAGAUUGAUAUUAUCUUGUUGGAUCUUGGUACUGUUUCGUUGAAAAGCAAUUUAUUGAGCUAAAGAGAACUAGUUUAAAUGAAAGUUUAACUCUCUUGGGCUCAGCGAGGGUGUUCUGUACUGCUUCAGAAACAAAGCCCCAGUACUCGGACUCAAUUUUUAAUUUUCUGAUAUCACACGGUUGUAUUUCAGACGUUUGAAAUCUGUCUUGAUCAUUGCUGUGAACUUGAGUACCUUUUGAGUAAUUAAUGUGCUAGAACAAGCAUACCAAGCUAGAGAACAAAUGUAAAGGAGGCCGUAAUCAGCUGAUCAAUGUGGGAAGCCAAAAGUCAUUGGUAAUGUAACUUUGACAUUAAAGUAAGAAGUUCUCUACUUAAUCUAUUCUCCUGUUAAAUCUUUAGCUCUAGGUUUUUUCAGUAAAUCAUCUUUAAAGCUAUUUAACAAGUCUCUACAGAUGAAGUGAGCCAAGUGGGUGAAUGUAACUUGUAUUUAUAAAGAUGAGAUCCAGAUGGCAAAACAUGGAAAUGGGAACCUAGUGGGCUAUGACAGCAUAAAAUUUGUUAAGACAGAGAUGGAGGAAAGCAAUGGGAGUUUACUUUCCCAUUAGCACACAUUCUAGGACAGCUAAGGUUAUUUGAGACAACUUAGAAGACAAACCUAUACUGUGCCUUUUCUGACUUGAGUCAAUCUUUAUUUGUGAUGCAGAUAGUUAAAGGUACUCCAGAGAAAGGAAGUAACGCUAUUACCAAUUCAUUCCGUUUCCUACUUUCUUAGUAUUUUUUUUUACCCCCUUCCACUGGGGGGAUAUGAUAUCACUACGUAGAAGAAACAGCUGGCAGUUCUAUUUUCAGUAUCAGAUUACAUGCUCAAACAUGUCUCUGUUCUCUGCUGUGGGACUUCACUACAUCCUGUUCAUGUCUUAGUUACCAGUUGAUCAGUAGCACUCACCCAGAAUGUGGGAGACAAGUGUUUUUCCUGUACAGAGCUGUGAGUGAGAAUAUUUGUCUUUACAAAUGAGAGCCAGAAGGAGGUCAGUGGGUCCCCACCACCAAUCUGUAUUACAAUGGCUAGUUUUAACUAGAGAUGUGUUAUGCCUGGAUUUAAUUCCCAUGCCUCUCUGUGCAUGUUCACCUGUGUGCCAGGCCUUAACAUGUUACCUAUAUAGUCCAUUUAUCAAACAUCUGUUUAGUAUUGAUUAUAUUCAGUGGAAGAUUGUAUUCACUGGAACUGAGAAGGUGUCAUGUAUUUUCUUUGCUUAGGUGAGUAGCUGGGAAUGAGUUAAGCUUAUUCUCCAUCUCUCUUCUAAGAGAAUAGUUACCUGUUGCAGUUGAAGUAGAGGAGACAGAGUAUCUUGCCUCAGACUACUGAUAAAUGGUUUGAAUAAACUCCUGCGCAUGUGGGAUACAGACUUGCACCCUCUCAGGCAGAUUAAAAAAAAAAAAAAAUCCUCUCUGGAUUAAAAAAAAUAAAUGUUAGCAGUAACUGUGGUUUGGAUCUAGUAAGGCCCCUUACUCCUCAGGGCAUAGCUGACUGACAACCUUAGAUUACCUAAGGGUGAUUAAGAUAGCUUUUGUGAGUUUGAUUUGAAGUACAGAAAUUGCACUCUUUUGUUAUGCAUGUGAGGGCUGCAGAUGCUGCCUUGGUGUGGAGGCACCUGAUUUUCUUUCCUUUUUUUUUUUUUUUUUUUUUUUUUUUGUGGCUUUUUCUGUAAAUCCAUAGGUUCCUAUGAAAAUGCAAGCAAAAGUUGCUUGUUCCUUAUUAACUUAAGUUCUCAAAAAAAGUUGUGUAUUGAGUGUUACACAUUAUUGUUGGAUCACGAAUUGCUAGCGAUGAGGAAGUUAGAUGCCUGAGAACAAAGCCAAUGAGACUUUGUAACCUAGGCCUUAAAACAUAGUGAAGACAGUCAAAAUAGGCCAGAGUACACUUACAACUUUUCCACUACUUCAUGGGGCCGGUAUUUUGUGGUUGGAGGAUAUGUUGCACAGGGUUCUGCAAAGCCCUUAUUGUUUUAAAUUAAACGCAACACGAAGGAGUAAUAAUCUAAUACUCUGAUACUGAUACUCAGAAGAAAACUGCAGAAGAUUUAUUAAUAGAUUGCUUGUGCUCUCCUGAUGUAGUUGAAGGUGUUUGUCAGAGCAUAUACAAUAGACAUCAAACGUUGUAUUGUAGUUUGAAUUAAAUAGGCCAUCAAGUCCAUCCAGGAGUUGGACCCAAUGAUCCUUAUGGGUCCCUUCUAACCUGGGAUAUUCUAUGAUUCUAUGAGAUGCUACUGUCAUGUAUAGAGUAAGGAAUUUAUAAAAUACGACUUCUGCUGGUUCAUGACCUUUGAACUAUGCAGAACUAGAUCAGACUGCAAGGCUUACCUGCAUAGUUGAUCUUAAACUUAAAAAUCCUCCCUGUAGCAUGUUUCAGCCAAAACUAGUAUUCUAGCUUGUGAACAACCUCUGCUGCCUUAGAGCCUAUGGUUCCCACUGAUGGAUCGAAGUAGCAAGUCUGACUUCAAAGAUGGAGUUUGUUUUGUUUUAGCUUGGAAGGUUUAGGGUGAAAUUCUUAAUGUAGCCAAGGUCUUGUGGGGGGCAGCCAAAAUAAUUAUGAAUCUUGGUCACAGUACUGUGCCAAAAAUGCAAAGGCAGUGAUUUAAUACUUCCAGAGUAGUAAGAAUGGUUGAAUGCUCGACCAUCCAUCCCUUUCAUGGAUGUGAUUUUUAAUAGCUAAUCUUCAGCCCAGUUAAGGUAAGCCUAUAUUCGAGAAAGGCCUCUCCUUUAGGUUUACUUUUUCCUGAAGUUUAAGGUAGACCAAUUUGCAGGUUAAUGUGAUGCAUCAUUCUGGCAGCAAACUUAAUUUAUACUUAAAAAUAAGCUUCCCUCCAUUAUGUUUACAGUGCAGAAAUAGUAAUGGCUGACUGAUGACCUUCUGGGUGAGAACAACUGCAUCACCAUCAAUAUUUUUUUUUCCAAAUAUGCAGAAAUUAGGUUUUAUCCAUAGACCUAACUUGACUUACGCCUUGGUCCUGCACCUUUGAGAGAAAUGAAUGCUUUCUAGUAUUGAAAAGUUUACAGUCUACAUAAACACCCAAUGAGGAGCUCAGUGUUUGGAAAUGGGAGGUAUCCUUUCUUGCUAUACAUCAGAGUAUUUUUUUUUAGUUAGGUUUUACAAGUGCACAUUGCACUGUCAUCUUUCUUUCCCCAUUGGUUUGGGAAGGAAGACAAAGCUUGUUUAAAAGCGAAUUCCCUGUCCUAUUGACCAGGCAGCCUGUAGAGGAAUAAAUGGUCCCGUGACACUGUACGUCAGAUUUACGUUUAGAAAACCAUGCAGAUUUUUCUUUUUACAAGGAAAGGUUUUUAUACUGAGAAGACACUUGCAGCACAUAUGAAAUGAUGUGGAAUACCAUGGAUUAAUUUUAAGUAAUUUUCUCAGUAAUGAACCAGAUCAAAAAUGAAGCAUGGUGCUGCAAGUAUUUUUAAUAAUAAGUUGACAUAGUAUUUGGAAAUAAUGUAGUUGAUGCUUCUGUUUGUAUUUAUAAUUUAGCAUGACUCAUAACCAGAAGCCAGAACUGUCCUGGUGAAGAGAAAAGAAUGUGAUAUUAAGAUUACAAGUGCCAAGGCAGAUUUUGUAUAUCGAAAGCUGACAAAAAAGACAAUUUGCAGAAGUUUCAGUAAGUGCAUCAUUAAAUCAUCCUUGGCUCCUUCUCAAUUGUUUUCUUUAAAUGAUGCUUCUCUAAGCAAAAAUAUAAACAUGUGAAACACUGAAGGUGACUUUCUUGGAAGAACUGUUUUUUUUCCCACUAAGGAAAUAUAUAUUUUUUUUCCUGAAGAUGUCCAAUUGAUUAAUGCCAGACCACAUGGAAUUAUUAAGUGAAAUCCUCAAGAUGUUCUAUUGUUUUUAUAGCACAACUCCAUCGCCAGUGUUUUUCUGUAUGUGAAAAUAUUUGGCAGCUUUGUUGACCAGAUAGGAAACAGUAUGUGAAUUCUGUGUUUUCAUGUAAAGGCCUUUGUUUCACAUCUAAAAUUUAGGAUGUUGAUGCUCAGCUAAAAUAGUGCCUUCAUAAUUUCUGACUAGACAUACCUGUUUGGUAUUUCUGAACAUGGUUACGGCAAACUCUUGAAUUUGGUGUUAGCAGCUAUCCCCGUCACCAGCAUGCAAAUCACGUCUGCUCUGCGGGAAUUACAAGAAGGUUCCCUCUUCGUAGCAGAACCCCAUACUACAUUUGGCGUGAGCAGCACUAAGAAACAUACGUAUUGUAUAAAUUCCCUUCUUGAAGCACUACCAGUACUUUGGUUAAGCCACUGUAAAACUACUGGUAUGCAUUUGUUCAUAGUUUGGAAAAUACUGUUUUCAUUACAGUAAACCAAUAUAAACAUCAGCAAUAUUCCUAUCAAACAAAUUAGUUCUCAUGUGAAAUGUAUGGUAAGUAAAUUUGUUGUGUAGCUGAAUACAGUGUUAUUUAAUGGAACUUGAUUUGGUGCCAACCAAACAUAUGGAUCUUUAAAUGCAUUCCCCUUGUGGCUAUGUUGAAAUCAUCCACCAAUAAUGUGCUGAAUUCCCUUCCAGACUUGCAGGCUGGCUGCCCUUAUUGUAUGAGGUUUUGAAAUGCUACAAAUAGUAUUGAUGGGGAAAAAAAAAAAAAAAAAG